AGCUUUGUGCAGUGGCAGUAUCAUAGCCAAUGAGGUUUAUCCGAGGCGCGAUUAUUGCUAAUUAUUAGUAAAUUAUUAUUGUU
Heterocephalus glaber (naked mole-rat) is the source of this 83-nucleotide small nuclear RNA. Its record names the gene U4. It matches the Rfam family "U4 spliceosomal RNA". From Rfam's summary of the family: U4 small nuclear RNA (U4 snRNA) is a component of the major U2-dependent spliceosome. The structure of U4 snRNA from yeast and human has been reported. Lineage: Eukaryota; Metazoa; Chordata; Mammalia; Rodentia; Bathyergidae. The record is from Ensembl.